UACAGAGGGGGCAAGCGUUGCUCGGAAUCACUGGGCGUAAAGGGUGCGUAGGCGGGUCUUUAAGUCAGGGGUGAAAUCCUGGAGCUCAACUCCAGAACUGCCUUUGAUACUGAGGAUCUUGAGUUCGGGAGAGGUGAGUGGAACUGCGAGUGUAGAGGUGAAAUUCGUAGAUAUUCGCAAGAACACCAGUGGCGAAGGCGGCUCACUGGCCCGAUACUGACGCUGAGGCACGAAAGCGUGGGGAGCAAACAGG
Molecule: ribosomal RNA, 253 nt
Filed under: uncultured bacterium
Lineage: Bacteria
Description: partial 16S ribosomal RNA
Rfam family: Bacterial small subunit ribosomal RNA
Source: RNAcentral